RNAcentral lists this ribosomal RNA (466 nucleotides) under uncultured bacterium. RNAcentral describes it as "partial 16S ribosomal RNA". It matches the Rfam family "Bacterial small subunit ribosomal RNA", at positions 28 to 523 of the family's 1533-position model. The record is from RNAcentral.
GAUGAACGCUGGCGGCGUGCCUAACACAUGCAAGUCGAGCGAACCCUUCGGGGUGAGCGGCGGACGGGUGAGUAACGCGUGGGUAACCUGCCCUAUACACACGGAUAACGUACCGAAAGGUACGCUAAUACGGGAUAAAGUUGUUGGAUGGCAUCUUCUAACAAUCAAAGCUCCGGCGGUAUAGGAUGGACCCGCGUCUGAUUAGCUAGUUGGUGAGGUAAGGGCUCACCAAGGCGACGAUCAGUAGCCGACCUGAGAGGGUGAUCGGCCACACUGGAACUGGGACACGGUCCAGACUCCUACGGGAGGCAGCAGUGGGGAAUAUUGCACAAUGGGCGAAAGCCUGAUGCAGCAACGCCGCGUGAGCGAUGAAGGUCUUCGGAUCGUAAAGCUCUGUCCUCAAGGAAGAUAAUGACGGUACUUGAGGAGGAAGCCCCGGCUAACUACGUGCCAGCCGCCGCCGUAA